Long non-coding RNA from Dromiciops gliroides (monito del monte), 1239 nucleotides. RefSeq lists it as uncharacterized. The transcript has 9 exons. NCBI's taxonomy places the organism in Eukaryota, Metazoa, Chordata, Mammalia, Microbiotheria, Microbiotheriidae. The record is from RefSeq and is a predicted model, not a curated record.
ACUCUACCAUCCAGUGACAUUGGCCUCCUUGCUAUGUCACUCUAUGCGUUUUCACCUACUGUCCACCAUGCCUGGAAUGCUCUCUCUUCUCAUCUCCAUCUCCAGACGGCCCUGGAUUCCUUCAGGUGCCUGUGUCUGAAGAUCAAAAAGCCCUUAAGAAACAAAAGAAAUCACUCAUCACACAAGUGGGAAGCACCAUGAAAAUUGCUGCUUCAAGAAAGAAAUAGCCAAGGUAAUCAUCUUGUAAUUGGCUGUGGGAUGAACCACAAAGAAAGCCUAUUCCAGUCUGGGGAAUUCAGCAAAUCUGCAAAAGACCUACUAAAUAAGCACACCUGCUUCAUUUUCUGGUUGAAUUUCUGCUUUGCCUAAUAAAUCAGUCAAGUUCAUACAUUCAGGGUGAAAUACCUGAAAAAGAGAAAAGUUGAAGAACCUCACAUCACUGAAAAUCUUUACUUAAUACAAACUCCUCAGUCUAGCAGACCUAAUGGAGCCAAUGAAGAGGUUUGAUGGAGCCAGCUUAUGCCAGCUUAAAAGAUUCAAUCUCAUGUGUUUCUUUUUUGUCGUCCUUAUGAUAUUGAUACUAUUAAUAAUCGGUAAUAGUGAUGAUGAUGAUGAUGAUGAUGAUAAAAGAAGAAAUUCAAAACAAAUGGGAACAGAAUGAAAUACACAGUAUCCCUGUCAUCCUGCCUGCUAUUGGAGUUGUGCUAGAAAUGCUUUUGAGAGCGAGGUUGAUGACUUUCCCCAACUCUGCCUCACUUAAAUUCAAUUCAUGAGCAAGUCAGGACAUCGCCCCAUGAUGUCACUGGUCCUUUUUGAAAUCGAAGGAUGAAAAUCAGCAAUAACAACAAUGGUAACAAUAUCAUCAGCACCAGCACCAGUAACAACAAUGCAGACCAGUUUGUCUGAUUCCGGAAUUCCAAUAUGGCAUCAGGUGAGGAAACUGAGGCCCAGAGAAGCAAGAAGACCAAGUAUAUAUUCAGAAAGGAGGCCCUUGUAUAUUGCGAUUUCUCUAGCCUCUUGGAUAAAACAACAUAAGAAGCAGACAAAGAGUCACAGAAUAUCAGGGUUGGAAAGGACCUCAGAGACCAUCUAGCCCAACUCAUAUUCCAUAAGCAACUUUCUUCUAAGACAUAUUCAACCCAGGCCUCCAAGGAAAGGAAUGUAUACAUCACUUCCCAGAGCAGACCAUUCCACUUGUGGAUGACAGUGUUUUAUAAUUUCUAUUAAAUCCAGACUAAA